RNAcentral lists this long non-coding RNA (360 nucleotides) under Homo sapiens (human). RNAcentral's name for it is "non-protein coding lnc-UCP1-2:1". Lineage: Eukaryota; Metazoa; Chordata; Mammalia; Primates; Hominidae. The record is from RNAcentral.
UGGGCAUUGCUGCACUAAGGAGAGUCUUAACAGCUUAUGCUUUUCGAAAUCCCAACAUAGGGUAUUGCCAGGCCAUGAAUAUUGUCACUUCAGUGCUGCUGCUUUAUGCCAAAGAGGAGGAAGCUUUCUGGCUGCUUGUGGCUUUGUGUGAGCGCAUGCUCCCAGAUUACUACAACACCAGAGUUGUGGGUAAGUGGAGAUGCAUUUAACAUUUCAACCUAUGUCUCGUCAAGAAGAUGCUUUUAGAGAGGUGCCAGCCAGAACACUAUUUCUGGUCACCAUAAGCCAAAAGAGUUUCAGACUACUCCAGUUUUUCAAAAUGGAAAUGAGAGAGGUUGAAUAAAUAUAGGUUGUAUACAA